RNAcentral lists this ribosomal RNA (752 nucleotides) under uncultured Candidatus Saccharibacteria bacterium. Its description in RNAcentral is "bacterial SSU rRNA". It matches the Rfam family "Bacterial small subunit ribosomal RNA", at positions 119 to 904 of the family's 1533-position model. The record is from RNAcentral. Lineage: Bacteria; Candidatus Saccharimonadota.
AGGAACGUACCCCAAACUGAGGGAUAAGCACCAGAAAUGGUGUCUAAUACCGCAUGUGCUCUAAGGAGUAAAGCUUCGGCGGUUUGGGAGCGGCCUGCGUCUGAUUAGCUAGAUGGUGAGGUAAUGGCUCACCAUGGCGACGAUCAGUAGCUGGUCUGAGAGGAUGAUCAGCCAGACUGGGACUGAGACACGGCCCAGACUCCUACGGGAGGCAGCAGUAGGGAAUUUUCCACAAUGGACGAAAGUCUGAUGGAGCAACGCCGCGUGCAGGAUGAAUGCCUUCGGGUUGUAAACUGCUUUUAUAUGUGACGAAUAUGACGGUAGCAUAUGAAUAAGGAUCGGCUAACUCCGUGCCAGCAGCCGCGGUCAUACGGAGGAUCCAAGCGUUAUCCGGAAUUACUGGGCGUAAAGAGUUGCGUAGGCGGCAUAGUAAGCAGAUAGUGAAAGCGUGUGGCUCAACCAUACUCACAUUAUCUGAACUGCUAAGCUAGAGGAUGAGAGAGGUCACUGGAAUUCCUAGUGUAGGAGUGAAAUCCGUAGAUAUUAGGAGGAACACCAAUGGCGUAGGCAGGUGACUGGCUCAUUCCUGACGCUCAGGCACGAAAGCGUGGGUAGCAAACGGGAUUAGAUACCCCGGUAGUCCACGCCGUAAACGAUGGAUGCUAGCUGUUAGAGGUAUCGACCCCUCUAGUAGCGAAGCUAACGCGUUAAGCAUCCCGCCUGUGGAGUACGGUCGCAAGACUAAAACAUAA